RNAcentral lists this long non-coding RNA (456 nucleotides) under Androctonus crassicauda. The record is from RNAcentral. Lineage: Eukaryota; Metazoa; Arthropoda; Arachnida; Scorpiones; Buthidae.
CUAACGUGGAAAAACGGAAAGCAUUUUAAAAUUUCACUGAAUAAAAAAAAACUACAUAAGAUGGAAAAAUAAUAAUUUUUUCCAUCUUUAAUAAAGGAAAAAGUGGUUUUAAAUUUGAAACCAAUAGUCAUCCUGAACAAGGAAUGGGAAGAUUUUCUAAGUAUGGCACUUCAAUGAAAUUCAGACAUUUAUAGGACAGCUUGAAGACAUUAAUAUGCUGGUAAAGGCUGAAGAAUAUGUCAACAUUGAUAAAAAUUUUUUAAUAAAGGCAGGUUAUCAAACUAUGAGUGAUUUGAUCCAGUCAAAAAGAGAAGAAAAUUCUAUAAAUGAAGAAGAUAGCAGUGAAAAAGGGAUUGGAAGAGACUUCCCAGAAACAGAAAAAAUAAGAAAUUUUGCUAAUGCUACAAAUAAAUUGGCUGUAUUAGAAGAAUUACCAAACAUCUCAGUUGCAUGAAA